GAGGAUAUAGCCCCAAGUGGUAGAGCACAUGCUUAGCAUGCAUGAGGUCCUGGGUUCAAUAACCCCAGUACCUCCU
Molecule: transfer RNA, 76 nt
Filed under: Camelus bactrianus (Bactrian camel)
Lineage: Eukaryota; Metazoa; Chordata; Mammalia; Artiodactyla; Camelidae
Also listed under: 2 other names
Rfam family: tRNA
About the family: Transfer RNA (tRNA) molecules are approximately 80 nucleotides in length. Their secondary structure includes four short double-helical elements and three loops (D, anti-codon, and T loops).
Source: Rfam by way of RNAcentral